Molecule: long non-coding RNA, 1053 nt
Filed under: Homo sapiens (human)
Lineage: Eukaryota; Metazoa; Chordata; Mammalia; Primates; Hominidae
Description: GTF3C2 antisense RNA 1
Source: RNAcentral
AGACAGGCCCUGCUAUGCUGUGACCACCACUACAGCAGCCCCAUUCUCCUUGCUGUGCUACUCACCUGGGGGUUGCUGAGCCAGCAGGGCCUCCGGAUGGGGUAGACUGAAUAGCAGUACUUUCCCGUCUGAGCAGGCCAGAGCCAAGAGACCCAACCGGGGCAGGAGAGGAGCCUAAAGGGUAAAAGGUAUGCUGAGGCUUGCUGCCUUCAGCUGACUCACAGAAAACCUUUGAGGUUCUAGUCCCUGAAAUACUGUAUGAAGUUGCUGGAAAAACUCCAUCCACUACACUCCAACCUUCGUUCCUUCAACUCUAAGAAUUCCCAGGGCCUCUUUGUCCUGGCUUUGAGUCCUAGGGCCAUCCCACAGUUGACUGGGAAGUACCUUCCGAGGGGUGCCUGGAAGUUCCCAUGCUCCACUGGGGCAGAACUUGAGGUCCCAGAUGCAGCCGUUGUCACAAGCAAUCCCAUAGACAAAGUGGGCCCUGUUGCCAGGACUGGAGAGAGAGAGCAUGUGGGGAUGGUGGGUAGGAAGAAGGGACGCAGGGCUGCCAGAGGGCUGGAGAAAAGAGCCACAUAUUGCGAGGCUCCUGCCCCCUCUGGCACUGGGCACCAGUCCAGAGCCCAGAGCGGUCCCCCCGUGAAGAAGGACACAUCCCAGCGCUCUGGAUGUGCUGUGAUCGAGCUAAAUCUAGAGAAAAAUCAAAGAUGGGAUGAAGAAAGGAAUUAAUGAAAGAAUCAGAAAAAAGGGCGGAUGUGCAAUCUUCACCUGUUUAUUCGGUAGAGGGUGCCAUCUUCAGGUAGCCCUUCACGUUGUACAGAAAACAAUGGAGACUUCUCCUCCUGGGGCAGUGGUGUCACCCUUCCUAAGCUACAGAGAUGUUGCUUCAACUUACAGCUCAGAUAACAAGUGCCACUUCCAGGCUAAAGGAAUCCACUCAGCAAACUCCCAGUAUGAAUGUUUCUGCUCUCGGCUGGAGAAACAGAAGAAGCAUUAAUGAAGGAGAGGGAUUCUACAGCCGCACAGUCCAAUAAAACUUUCUGUGGGGAUGGA